RNAcentral lists this small nucleolar RNA (145 nucleotides) under Hucho hucho (huchen). Lineage: Eukaryota; Metazoa; Chordata; Actinopteri; Salmoniformes; Salmonidae. The record is from RNAcentral.
CUUCAGUGAUGAUGAGUCGGAACGGGACACAGUCUCUCUGGGUUCACUGGGUCAGGCUCAGGUUCUGUGUCUCUGGGUUGUUACUUCAGUUCCCCAGAGCAGCGUGUCUUUCAGUUGAAGACAUUGAGGCAUUUGUCUGAGGGGG